RNAcentral lists this transfer RNA (72 nucleotides) under Ictidomys tridecemlineatus (thirteen-lined ground squirrel). RNAcentral's name for it is "Spermophilus tridecemlineatus (thirteen-lined ground squirrel) tRNA". It matches the Rfam family "tRNA". From Rfam's summary of the family: Transfer RNA (tRNA) molecules are approximately 80 nucleotides in length. Their secondary structure includes four short double-helical elements and three loops (D, anti-codon, and T loops). The record is from Rfam by way of RNAcentral. Lineage: Eukaryota; Metazoa; Chordata; Mammalia; Rodentia; Sciuridae.
GGGGCUGUAGCUCAGUGGUAGAGUGCUUGUCUAGCAUGUGCAAGAUCCUGGGUUCAAGUCCCAGAACCUCUA